AUACGGAGGGAGCAAGCGUUACUCGGAAUCACUGGGCGUAAAGCGCGCGCAGGCGGCUAUUUAAGUUGGAUGUGAAAGCCUACGGCUCAACCGUAGAACUGCAUCCAAAACUAUUUAGCUAGAGUGUAGGAGAGGAAGAUGGAAUUAGUUGUGUAGGGGUAAAAUCCGUAGAGAUAACUAGGAAUACCAAAAGCGAAGGCAAUCUUCUGGAACACUACUGACGCUGAGGCGCGAAAGCGUGGGGAGCAAACAGGAUUAGAAACCCCAGUAGUCC
RNAcentral lists this ribosomal RNA (274 nucleotides) under uncultured bacterium. Its description in RNAcentral is "partial 16S ribosomal RNA". It matches the Rfam family "Bacterial small subunit ribosomal RNA", at positions 523 to 796 of the family's 1533-position model. The record is from RNAcentral.